UAGAAGACAGUUCUGAAAAGGUGUAUUUUUCCUUGAUCUGCAUGAUUUCUCUGUCCCAUAUGACAGAGCAGGACAAGAAGACAGCCAACAGAAGCCUCUCCAAAGCAUGGGGUCAAGGAGAGACAGACAAAAAGAAAAACACCAGUUCUAAUCUGGCAUUUAUUUCUGUCCCUGGAUCAGCUGAAGUUUAUACGUCUGUGGCCUGGAAAAAUUGUGACAGCAGUUUACAUUAUGGCAUUGUUAAUUACUCCUUAAAUUAUCUUCCAGAAAUUGUGAUGAAUAAGCGAUGUAGAUCAACACUUCAAAGAUAUGCUAACCGUUGGUACUAUUUAUUAUUUUGAAU
Molecule: long non-coding RNA, 343 nt
Filed under: Homo sapiens (human)
Lineage: Eukaryota; Metazoa; Chordata; Mammalia; Primates; Hominidae
Description: HSALNT0351423
Source: RNAcentral